UGUGGGAUCGGCCUGGGUUCAUGCGUUGGCUGAAACCCAUUAUGACAACCUGAAGUAGGAUCCUUGUUACAGAUCCUGCCUACCAUACAUUUUUUCUUAACCCUGUUCUGUUGUGUCCAGGUCAUUGUUGCUGAUAAUUUCUUCACUGGUUCAAAAGACAACCUGAAGAAGUGGAUCGGCCCUCCAAGAUUUGAGCUCAUCCGUCACGAGUGCUUAGUGGAAGUGCGAGAUAUGAAAACUGAAGAAACAGUUUGCAGAAUUACAUUUGGAACAUCUGGAGAAGGACAAUGCAGUGGCAAGGCCUACGGAAGCAUGUCAAAAGGAGUUUCAUCAUUUGUUUUGAAGAAACCUCUAUUCCAUUUUAUUUAUCCACAUGAUUUUUCUUUGGUUUUCCCGGAAGAAACUACUACCUAGCUAGUAAUUAUCUCCAAGGUCUGUAAUUCAUUAUUUGGUCAAAGUAGUUUGUAAUAUAGGAUUCACAUGGUGUGAAUCAUUUUGGACAUGUCUCA
Molecule: long non-coding RNA, 509 nt
Organism: Panicum virgatum (switchgrass)
Lineage: Eukaryota; Viridiplantae; Streptophyta; Magnoliopsida; Poales; Poaceae
Exons: 3
Source: RefSeq, a predicted model, not a curated record